Molecule: ribosomal RNA, 82 nt
Filed under: Escherichia coli
Lineage: Bacteria; Pseudomonadati; Pseudomonadota; Gammaproteobacteria; Enterobacterales; Enterobacteriaceae
Also listed under: 1 other name
Description: partial 16S ribosomal RNA
Rfam family: Bacterial small subunit ribosomal RNA
Source: RNAcentral
AAAUUGAAGAGUUUGAUCAUGGCUCAGAUUGAACGCUGGCGGCAGGCCUAACACAUGCAAGUCGAACGGUAACAGGGAUCAG